GUGGGGAAUUUUGGACAAUGGGCGAAAGCCUGAUCCAGCAAUGCCGCGUGCAGGAUGAAGGCCUUCGGGUUGUAAACUGCUUUUGUACGGAACGAAAAAGCUUCUCCUAAUACGAGAGGCCCAUGACGGUACCGUAAGAAUAAGCACCGGCUAACUACGUGCCAGCAGCCGCGGUAAUACGUAGGGUGCGAGCGUUAAUCGGAAUUACUGGGCGUAAAGCGUGCGCAGGCGGUUAUGUAAGACAGAUGUGAAAUCCCCGGGCUCAACCUGGGAACUGCAUUUGUGACUGCAUGGCUAGAGUACGGUAGAGGGGGAUGGAAUUCCGCGUGUAGCAGUGAAAUGCGUAGAUAUGCGGAGGAACACCGAUGGCGAAGGCAAUCCCCUGGACCUGUACUGACGCUCAUGCACGAAAGCGUGGGGAGCAAACAGGAUUAGAAACCCCAGUAGUCC
RNAcentral lists this ribosomal RNA (450 nucleotides) under uncultured bacterium. Its description in RNAcentral is "partial 16S ribosomal RNA". It matches the Rfam family "Bacterial small subunit ribosomal RNA", at positions 354 to 796 of the family's 1533-position model. The record is from RNAcentral.